CAGUCGCCGCGGUAAUACAGAGGGUGCGAGCGUUAAUCGGAUUUACUGGGCGUAAAGCGUGCGUAGGCGGCUAAUUGAGUCGGAUGUGAAAUCCCCGAGCUUAACUUGGGAAUUGCAUUCGAUACUGGUUAGCUAGAGUGUGGGAGAGGAUGGUAGAAUUCCAGGUGUAGCGGUGAAUUGCGUAGAGAUCUGGAGGAAUACCGAUGGCGAAGGCAGCCAUCUGGCCUAACACUGACGCUGAGGUACGAAAGCAUGGGGAGCAAACAGGAUUAGAUACCCCAGUAGUCCCUGUCUCUUAUAC
RNAcentral lists this ribosomal RNA (301 nucleotides) under uncultured bacterium. RNAcentral describes it as "partial 16S ribosomal RNA". It matches the Rfam family "Bacterial small subunit ribosomal RNA", at positions 509 to 807 of the family's 1533-position model. The record is from RNAcentral.